CCGUAGCCCAAGAGAUCGGGAUAACACCUGGAAACAGAUGCUAAUACCGGAUAACAACAGAUGAUGCCUAUCAACUGUUUAAAAGAUGGUUCUGCUAUCACUCUUGGAUGGACCUGCGGCGCAUUAGCUAGUUGGUAGGGUAACGGCCUACCAAGGCGAUGAUGCAUAGCCGAGUUGAGAGACUGAUCGGCCACAUUGGGACUGAGACACGGCCCAAACUCCUACGGGAGGCAGCAGCC
RNAcentral lists this ribosomal RNA (239 nucleotides) under uncultured Lactobacillus sp. Its description in RNAcentral is "partial 16S ribosomal RNA". It matches the Rfam family "Bacterial small subunit ribosomal RNA", at positions 125 to 355 of the family's 1533-position model. The record is from RNAcentral. Lineage: Bacteria; Bacillati; Bacillota; Bacilli; Lactobacillales; Lactobacillaceae.